GAUGAACGCUGGCGGCGUGCCUAAUACAUGCAAGUCGAGCGAACAGACGAGGAGCUUGCUCCUCUGACGUUAGCGGCGGACGGGUGAGUAACACGUGGAUAACCUACCUAUAAGACUGGGAUAACUUCGGGAAACCGGAGCUAAUACCGGAUAAUAUAUUGAACCGCAUGGUUCAAUAGUGAAAGACGGUUUUGCUGUCACUUAUAGAUGGAUCCGCGCCGCAUUAGCUAGUUGGUAAGGUAACGGCUUACCAAGGCGACGAUGCGUAGCCGACCUGAGAGGGUGAUCGGCCACACUGGAACUGAGACACGGUCCAGACUCCUACGGGAGGCAGCAGUAGGGAAUCUUCCGCAAGGGGCGAAAGCCUGACGGAGCAACGCCGCGUGAGUGAUGAAGGUCUUCGGAUCGUAAAACUCUGUUAUUAGGGAAGAACAAAUGUGUAAGUAACUAUGCACGUCUUGACGGUACCUAAUCAGAAAGCCACGGCUAACUACG
RNAcentral lists this ribosomal RNA (495 nucleotides) under uncultured bacterium. RNAcentral describes it as "partial 16S ribosomal RNA". It matches the Rfam family "Bacterial small subunit ribosomal RNA", at positions 28 to 505 of the family's 1533-position model. The record is from RNAcentral.